This is a long non-coding RNA of Drosophila navojoa, 417 nucleotides long. The record is from RefSeq and is a predicted model, not a curated record. NCBI's taxonomy places the organism in Eukaryota, Metazoa, Arthropoda, Insecta, Diptera, Drosophilidae.
CAAAAAGAAGAAUCAUUUAGCGACACAUUUGGCAUAUCAAAAUUUGCUGCCCGAACUGUUCAGCCGGCAUUCAAAAUCAGCUGCCAUGUGCGUCGUUUAUUAACUCCCAAAACUGACAGCAAACGUCAGACGGCCGACAACUGACGAUAUCACAACUACGCACUAUAUACCACUAAUAUAUAUGUUCAGUUUCCAUCUCGCUGUCUUUAGCUGACUUGCAUGCAAAAUUAAUUACGGGCAAAAUUUGUUUACGAUGCUGACGUUGACGUAGACGCUGUCGUUGUCGUUGUCGUUGUCGUUGUCGUUGUCGUUGUUGCUGUCGCCGUCGCUGGCUUUGCUGAGUUUCUACCACGCGCGCUGCUUCAGCCAUAAAAGUUUUACGUUAUAGCCCUAACCGAAUUUAGAGCCAGGCCCAGC